Long non-coding RNA from Adelges cooleyi (spruce gall adelgid), 401 nucleotides. RefSeq lists it as uncharacterized. The transcript has 3 exons. NCBI's taxonomy places the organism in Eukaryota, Metazoa, Arthropoda, Insecta, Hemiptera, Adelgidae. The record is from RefSeq and is a predicted model, not a curated record.
GUGAGAUUAUACAUUUUAGAAUAAUGAAAAACCUAGUUAGUCGUUCUGUAUAGUUUCUAAAAGUUGGUUGUAGUAUUAGUAUUUCAAGUAUUCGUCCUGUAGAAAAUUCAAUUAAACGAAAUGGUUUCGUUUUGGCAGUUCUAUAUUAUAAAAUAGUAAACCGGAGAAAGACGUCAUUGGCAAAUCGAAUACCCGGUCCAGAUGGAUUCUUUUUCUUGGGAAUGUUACCAGUUUUACUUGGAGGACCUAAAAAAGUAAUGAUGAAUAUUUUCCAAAUUUCCAGAAAUUACGAAAAUACUUUAUUCAAAUCAUGGGUUAUUAAUCAAUUGUACAUAUUUUCUAAAACACCUGAGGUUGUAGAAGCAGUUCUUACCAAUCCUAAUCUGUUUAACAAAUUUAGA